Molecule: long non-coding RNA, 861 nt
Organism: Manis pentadactyla (Chinese pangolin)
Lineage: Eukaryota; Metazoa; Chordata; Mammalia; Pholidota; Manidae
Exons: 2
Source: RefSeq, a predicted model, not a curated record
UCGCUAAUUAUCAGAGAAAUGCAAAUUAAAACCACAAUGAGGUAUCACCUCACACCAGUAAGGAUGGCUGCCAUCCAAAAGACAAACAACAACAAAUGUUGGUGAGGUUGUGGAGAAAGGGGAACCCUCCUACACUGCUGGUGGGAAUGUAAAUUAGUUCAACCAUUGUGGAAAGCAGUAUGGAGGUUCCUCUAAUGCUCAAAACAGACUUACCAUUUGACCCAGGAAUUCCACUCCUAGGAAUUUACCCUAAGAACGCAGCACUCAAGUUUGAAAAAGACAGAUGCACCCCUAUGUUUAUCGCAGCACUAUUUACAAUAGCCAAGAAUUUGAAGCAACCUAAGUGUCCAUCAGUAGAUGAAUGGAUAAAGAAGAUGUGGUACAUAUACACAAUGGAAUAUUACUCAGCCAUAAGAAGAAAACAAAUCCUACCAUUUGCAACAACAUGGAUGGAGCUAGAGGGUAUUACGCUCAGUGAAAUAAGCCAAGUGGAGAAAGAGAAAUAUCAAAUGAUUUCACUCAUCUGUGGAGUAUAAGAACAAAGGAAAAACUGAAGGAACAAAACAGCAGCAGAAUCACAGAACCCAAGAAUGGACUAACAGGUACCAAAGCGAAAGGGACUGGGGAGGAUGGGUGGGUAGGGAGGGAUAAGGGGGGAAAGAAGAAGGGGGGUAUUAAGAUUAGCAAGCAUGGGGGGGUGGGAGAAAGGGGAGGGCUGGCUGUACAACACAGAGAAGACAAGUAGUGACUCUACAACAUUUUGCUAUGCUGAUGGACAGUGACUGUAAAGGGGUUUAUAGGGGGGACCUGGUAUAGGGGAGAGCCUAGUAAACAUAAUAUUCGUCAUGUAAGUGUAGAUUA